UUUUCUUUUCUCUCUUUCUUUUCCUCUGUUUCUCUCGUGUUCUCUGCCUUCUUUGUCGGCGUUUCCUUCUCCUCUCUGAUUCUCCAGUGGACGACGAUGAGUUUAUGUUAAUCAGAAGCAUCAAGCAAACCCUCUGGUUCGCGAGACCUCUAUUCCGCCAUUGAAAAGGCUCUUAAAGGUUCACCAAUCGCCGGAUUAUUCCCUCCUCUUCCCCAAUGGUUUCCACUUAUAGUCGCUCUUGUAGCCUCAGGGUAAUUCCCCUCCGACCAUCCUUCGUUGGAAACUAUGGAGCGUCUUCUAUAAUCGCUUCACACCUUUCUUCUUUUGGUCGCUCUCUUCAUUUGAUUAGCUUCAGAAUUGUUGUUUGAUUGGUCAGAAGAUAACUUGUCUUGCUAUCUUAAAGAUUGGUUGGUUAGAGAGUGGUUUGAAUUUGUCUGUAACAUGACUGGAAAGUUCAUAGUUUGAAGUCAUAUUUGUUGAUUGAUUAUGCUUUGUCCUGUUAAAGGUUGGUUGAUUAGAGAGUUCCAGUAAAGAUUGGUUGGGUAUAGAGUGGUUGAUUAAUGAACAGAUUGAUUAUGCUUUGUCCUGUUAAAGAUUGAAGAUAACUUGUCUUGCUGUUUUAGUUUAAGAGUUUUUGAUCAUCUAUCUGAUUUUGUCUUAUAAGAUCUCUCUCUUUAACUAAACCUUCUACAUAGAAUCUUCAAUCUGUUCAUUAAUUCCUAGAACGUGUUGUUAUGGAAUUAAUGGAGACAAUGUAGUUGUUGUUAUGUAAUGUAAUGGAAUUAAUGCGGUUUGGCUUGAUGUUGUUCUUGUUCUUUUAAUGGUUUGGUGGUUUGCUGUUGUGAUACAGUUAUGAGAGGUUUGUUGCAAGUGUGAAGCAAGUGUCAUUGUCAUCACUCACCUCGUGAAGCAAGUGUGAAGCAAGUGUCAUUGUACAAGUUUUGUAUGCAUGUGCGUAAGCAGUCACGGAGUUGUAUUGUACAAAAGUCAUGAAUAGAGCGUUUGUAUGCUAGUGUAUUAUCAGUGUACAAACUUUUGUAUGCUAGUCAGUCAGUCAUGAAUAGAUUGUUUGUAUGCUAGUGUCUUCUAUUAUCAGUCAGUAAGUCACAAGCUUUUGUCCAAUUCACGGACUGUUCUUUCCUUGUAUUCAAGUCAUGAAGACCAUAAAAGGCUUCUAUUAUCACUCUUGUAAAGAAGCAAACUUCUCGACUUGUAAAGAAUCAAGCACAACACCAAAAUCAUCUUCUUGUCACAACACUCUUGGUUUCUAAAUUUUUUUUCCCACACCACCAAAGUCAUUUUGUCUCUUUAAUUACAACACCCUUGGUUUGAGAAUUUAUCGUUCACAACACCAAAGUCAUCUUUUCUCUUUAAUCACAACACUAUUGCUUCGAACUAUAAUUCGUGAUAGACAAAUGCAUCAACAACUAAAAGCUGAUUUGGUUGAACAUAUAUGGCGUAAAUUUGGACGUGAUGAAGACAACAACUGAGCUCAUAUGCUU
This 1502-nucleotide long non-coding RNA is filed under the name Brassica napus (rape). Its description in RNAcentral is "long non-coding RNA (BNAP_LNC022481)". The record is from RNAcentral. Lineage: Eukaryota; Viridiplantae; Streptophyta; Magnoliopsida; Brassicales; Brassicaceae.